UAACGCAGGAUACUUUGAUUCUAAGUAGGAGAAAGUGCUAGUAAUAACUUAUAACACAUGCGAGUUAGAGGUGUUGAGCCUUGGCGAACGGGUGUAGAAAAUUUCCAUUCGUCUGUACAAACCCCUGAAAAAGGGAUAAUUGGGAGUGACCUUCACAGUUGUGGAGAAGUGCUUCGGGAAACUUUAAAGACUUGUAACUAGAGGGAGAUCGUUUUAGAAUAAGGUAGUAGGUCGUAAAGAGAGAACCCUUGUCUGACAUGCGUAGCAAUUAAUGAUAAGAGUCACAUUGACAAUGAAAUAUGGGUCAACCUAACAGGCUGCAGUGAAGAAUCCUGGGCAAUAGGCGAAAGCUGGACCUGGAGACAUUACGUUGAGAGGGGUCUAAUAAUCGUCCCAGCAGACGCGGUCAUACGUUACAUUACUCGAGCUAUUCUUUGACAAGGCGUUUAACGUGCUUGGACCCUGUGGAUGGCAUCCGUUAAAUGCUUCAAAAGUGUGCGUACGGUAGGAAGAGCCAUGUAGGAGUUUAAUCCGCAAAUAUGGACUUAAAAUGACAGAGGCGCAGGCGUUGUGCGGCAUGGAGAAGC
RNAcentral lists this ribosomal RNA (587 nucleotides) under Clathrina clathrus. RNAcentral describes it as "small subunit ribosomal RNA". It matches the Rfam family "Bacterial small subunit ribosomal RNA", at positions 1 to 748 of the family's 1533-position model. The record is from RNAcentral. Lineage: Eukaryota; Metazoa; Porifera; Calcarea; Clathrinida; Clathrinidae.